GAACUGGACAACUAGGUCUAUGGCGUAUGUGUGGAAAACUAAAGGUAUUCAAGUCCGGCCGGGAUGGCCAUUAUCUGGGCCCUUCCAGACUCCCACUGUCACUUCGGAGUGGUUUUUCCUUUCUUCACCUCGGAAGGCUUCAAGGCUUCGAUGGCAAUCGGACUCAAGGGCAAAACCUGAUGCAAAUUACUUAAUCAUGGAAUUCUUCAACGGAUGGACCUCUAGGAUCCCCACUAAAUCUCACUGGCCACUUAUCGAUUGGAAUUCUGGACCAUCUUGGCGUUCCACCACCUGAAGUGGUUUGGAUGCCCCCUACAUCGUUAGAUGCGCGAAAAUAAGUUGGUUCCCCAUAAGGUCUAGACU
This is a long non-coding RNA of Uranotaenia lowii, 363 nucleotides long. RefSeq lists it as uncharacterized. The transcript has 3 exons. The record is from RefSeq and is a predicted model, not a curated record. NCBI's taxonomy places the organism in Eukaryota, Metazoa, Arthropoda, Insecta, Diptera, Culicidae.